UACGUAGGUGGCAAGCGUUAUCCGGAAUUAUUGGGCGUAAAGAGUGAGCAGGCGGCAAAUUAAGUCUGAGGUUAAAGCGUGGAGCUCAACUCCAUAAAGCCUUGGAAACUGAUUAGCUAGAGUACGAGAGAAGUAAGCGGAAUUCCAUGUGUAGCGGUGAAAUGCGUAGAUACAUGGAGGAACACCAGUGGCGAAGGCGGCUUACUAGCUCGAAACUGACGCUCAGUCACAAAAGCGUGGGUAGCAAAUA
This 250-nucleotide ribosomal RNA is filed under the name uncultured prokaryote. RNAcentral describes it as "partial 16S ribosomal RNA". It matches the Rfam family "Bacterial small subunit ribosomal RNA", at positions 524 to 774 of the family's 1533-position model. The record is from RNAcentral.